Molecule: ribosomal RNA, 445 nt
Filed under: uncultured bacterium
Lineage: Bacteria
Description: partial 16S ribosomal RNA
Rfam family: Bacterial small subunit ribosomal RNA
Source: RNAcentral
GUAGGGAAUAUUGGGCAAUGGAGGCAACUCUGACCCAGCCAUGCCGCGUGCAGGAUGACGGCCCUCUGGGUUGUAAACUGCUUUUAACCGGGAAGAAACCCCAGGACGUGUCCUGGGUUGACGGUACCGGAGGAAUAAGCACCGGCUAACUUCGUGCCAGCAGCCGCGGUAAUACGAAGGGUGCAAGCGUUAUCCGGAUUCAUUGGGUUUAAAGGGUGCGUAGGCGGAGCGUUAAGUCAGUGGUGAAAUCCUGCAGCUUAACUGUAGACUUGCCAUUGAUACUGGCGCUCUUGAGUGCGCUUGAAGUGGGCGGAAUGUGCCGUGUAGCGGUGAAAUGCUUAGAUAUGGCACAGAACACCAAUUGCGAAGGCAGCUCACUAAGGCGAUACUGACGCUGAGGCACGAAAGCGUGGGGAUCGAACAGGAUUAGAAACCCGUGUAGUCC